GCAUAACGCGAAGAACCUUACCCGGGUUUGAACGUAGGGAGACGGGAGUGGAAACAUUCUUUUCAGCAAUGACUGCCUACGAGGUGCUGCAUGGUUGUCGUCAGCUCGUGCCGUGAGGUGUCGGCUUAAGUGCCAUAACGAGCGCAACCCUUAUUUCCAGUUACUAACAGGUAAUGCUGAGGACUCUGGAGAGACUGCCAGCGUAAGCUGUGAGGAAGGUGGGGAUGACGUCAAAUCAGCACGGCCCUUACAUCCGGGGCGACACACGUGUUACAAUGGUAAGGACAAAGGGCAGCUACCGGGCGACCGGAUGCGAAUCUCUAAACCUUAUCUCAGUUCGGAUCGGAGUCUGCAACUCGACUCCGUGAAGCUGGAUUCGCUAGUAAUCGCGCAUCAGCCAUGGCGCGGUGAAUACGUUCCCGGGUCUUGUACACACCG
RNAcentral lists this ribosomal RNA (438 nucleotides) under uncultured bacterium. RNAcentral describes it as "bacterial SSU rRNA". It matches the Rfam family "Bacterial small subunit ribosomal RNA", at positions 954 to 1392 of the family's 1533-position model. The record is from RNAcentral.